CAUGAGAAGUGCAGGGGCUGUGGUCAGAGACGCCAACUACUGGCUCUGCUUCAUGGACCCAGGCCUCAGUUUCCCCUUCUAGCCAGUGAACAGGCUGGUUCCAGAGCUGCUGGCUUCACUGUGUCUCAGUGGUGUUUCACUGUCCCCAGAGCUGUGGCCGCUGCAGGCUGGCCAGCACCAGUGUCUGUGGCAGGCCGGGGGAAGGUCAAGGAGACGACUGAAGGUAUGCAUGAGUUUGUGGAUGGGACUUAACCCCAUCCCAUUCCACCCUCUGGGUCCUCUCGUGAGGUGUCCCUGGGGCCAGCGUCCCCUCUGACGUGCUCUCUGCAAUGUUUGUUCAGAAGAUGCCCCUUCUUACACUUCUUGUGUUUCCCAGUCUGGACCCCUCCCACCAGCAGUUCAGGCCCAUUUGUCCCAGGCCCUUACUGCCCUCACUAGUCUGCUAGAGAUCAAGGCAGACUUUCAGGAAGCCGGGUAGUCUCUAGUGGAGACUGACCUAACCAAGAGCGCCCACUUCAGCAGCCUUGCAGUUCUCACAAACAAGCAGAGCCCGGAAAAUUACUUGUGUGCUCAGGCGCUCAGUCGUGUCCAGCUCUUUGUGACCCUGUGGACUGUAACCCACCAGGCUCCUCUGUCCAUGGGGAUUGUCAAGGCAAGAAUACUGAAGGUCGGUUGUCAUGCCUUCCUCUAGGGGAUCUUCCCAACCCAGGGAUUGAACCCAGGUCUCAUUGUGGGAGGACUCGUUACAUCUGAGCCACCAGAGAAGCUCAAGAAUACUGGAGUGGGUAGCCUAUCCUUCCAGGGGAACUUCCCGACCCAGGAAUUGAACCGGGGUCUCUUGCACUGCAGGCGGAUUCUUUACCAGCUGAGCUACCCAGGAAGCUGUACCAGCUACCCAGGACAGCUUGUGGAGUCCGCUGCUGGAUGGAAUCUCUCCUCCCCUGGUGUCUCCAGUCUGACCCCGUGAGUGCCUCCCCUCAGUUCAGCCUCUGUCCUCUCCCACUCCACCCCUGCGGCAGCCUCUUUCCUGCUUCCUCUCCCUGCCUUUCUCCUUUCUGAACCCUGCAGCUGGGAUGUAAUUUGCAUCGCCUUUGUGAUUGUUCAGUCGCUAAACUGUGUCCGACUCUGUCGGACUUUGCCUUCUCCUCUCCUUCACCCUCAAGGAUGGAGACUUCUCCGGGAAGCUACCCGUAACUUCCAGAACUGGGUUACGUGUCCCAUAACGCUGCCACGGAGUCUCGUUAAGUUCCAGGGUCAGGGUAUAAAGUCAUGCCUGGGAUACAGAUGGAGCGUGAUAAAAAUUCCUCUCCGAAACCCUGAGGAAGGUGCCUUGCUGAAGACCCUUAUCGCGAGGCCGGAUGCCGCUGCUGCCUGCCCCUGUGGGAGCAGGUCACAGCUUUCUUUGGGUGAGCCCCAGGAGAAGUCAUGGACCUGCAAUUCAGGCUCUGUUGUGCAAACAGCAGGUGUUAGACUCACACUCAGGCGAGCUGCUCACUUUUGAAGAGGCCCGGGGACCCGAGACAGGCCACAGGAGUAGCAGGGGCUUGAGCUCGCCUCAGGCCCUCCUGCCUGGCUGCUCAGGGGAUGGAGGGACAGGUGUUCAGUCACCAAGUCAUGUCUGACUCUCUGUGACCCCAUGGACUGCAGCACACUAGGCCUCCCUGUCCCUCACCGUCUCCUGGAGUUUGCCAAAGUUCAUGUCCAUUGAAUGGGUGAUGCUAUCCAACCAUCUCAUCCUCUGUGACCCAAAUAACUUAAAAUUGCUUUCCCCAUUUUUUUCCCCCUCCCUAGCUUUUUCAGACAAAUACCAUUGUGUUUGCUGAAGUGAAAUACGCAUGGAAUACCAUAUUUCUGCACCCUCCCCGCCCCAAACCUGCACACCUGUACACUGUAUCACAGUUUCCUCUUACUGUUUGUCUGUGUGCUAGACUGUGAGCUCCAUGAGAGCAGGGCCAUGUCCGGCUUGUUCAUGGGGGUCCCCCAUCCGGGUACCGUGCCUGGCACCUGGCAGGUCCCCCCGACACAAGGCUGACUGUGUAAAUCCCCUGCUUUACAAGGGACAGCUCCGUUCUCUGAAGGCCAGGCACUGCCUUACAGGCCAGUCCUCAUGGUUCUGCCUUGCACACGCAACACGUGAUGCUUUGUUUCCCCUGCUAGCAGCCUCUGAUGAGCAGGCGUCUUCGUGUUCUGAUCUCUGUUCCUCCU
Molecule: long non-coding RNA, 2205 nt
Organism: Bos taurus (domestic cattle)
Lineage: Eukaryota; Metazoa; Chordata; Mammalia; Artiodactyla; Bovidae
Source: Ensembl